This 167-nucleotide ribosomal RNA is filed under the name Chaetothyriales sp. RNAcentral's name for it is "partial large subunit ribosomal RNA". It matches the Rfam family "Eukaryotic large subunit ribosomal RNA", at positions 99 to 261 of the family's 3401-position model. Lineage: Eukaryota; Fungi; Ascomycota; Eurotiomycetes; Chaetothyriales. The record is from RNAcentral.
CGGCAACAGCUCAAAUUUGAAAUCUGGCCUCUUUUGGGGUCCGAGUUGUAAUUUGUAGAGGAUGUUUUGGGUACCGCACUGGUUUAAAUUUCUUGGAACAGAAUGUCAGAGAGGGUGAGAAUCCCGUACGUGGCUGGCCACCUUCGCCCGUGUGAAGCUCUUUCGAC